ACACAGUGGAGCUACCGAGGGCCGUGUUUAAACAAGCCAUAAAAAUGAGUUAUGACCGAACACGCACCCGCUCUCACGGUUUUUUUUUAAAAGGGCUACAAAAUCAGAGGGUAGUCCCGUAUGAAAAUGUAAGUGGGGUUUUUAUUUGUGCGCAUUACGACACAAUUGCUCUCCUUAAUGUCCGUCUCGUUCAUGCCACGCGGUGAUUUAUGGGCUCCCGAAGGCGAACGCGGC
This 234-nucleotide long non-coding RNA is filed under the name Periophthalmus magnuspinnatus. Its description in RNAcentral is "HOX antisense intergenic RNA myeloid 1 conserved region 2 (ENSPMGG00000005696.1)". It matches the Rfam family "HOX antisense intergenic RNA myeloid 1 conserved region 2". Lineage: Eukaryota; Metazoa; Chordata; Actinopteri; Gobiiformes; Gobiidae. The record is from RNAcentral.